CAAACAAGAUGCUCCGCAUCAGACUGCGACAUCGUCAACGUCGCGUGUCCAAGCUGGAGAACAUUCCACCUGACUCCGAGAGCUGCUCGUGAUUUCAGCAAGAUGAUGUCGUGUCUGUGCCGGCGUGCUUAUUGUAAAUAAGUAGCCCUGUAAUUUAUUAAACGUAGCCUGUUAACUACAGUACCAAUACAGGUAGAGGUAACGUUUGAAGAAGUGACUUCCAGAUGGCCAAUUAAUCUGACAAAAAUACUAAAAUCAUUACAAAAAGUAAAGCGCCUUGUUAAUAUCGCAUUCUUGUAUCCCCUCCAAUUACUGCCUUUUUGGGAGACCUCCGGUCUUUCCAGAUAAGCCAGCGAUGAAAUUAAACACAGCGAUUGUGGGUGACAUCGUGCAAACCUUAGAAAAAAUAUUCAAAGUGGUUGAAAAACUCGAGAGAGGCAGCAUACACACCAAGUAUGGUGACGAGGCUAAGAUGCUACGCAACAGGUUGCAGUUAACCAAAUGACGAUUAUCGGGAAG
Pectinophora gossypiella (pink bollworm) is the source of this 519-nucleotide long non-coding RNA. RefSeq lists it as uncharacterized. The transcript is spliced from 5 exons. NCBI's taxonomy places the organism in Eukaryota, Metazoa, Arthropoda, Insecta, Lepidoptera, Gelechiidae. The record is from RefSeq and is a predicted model, not a curated record.